UUGAACGCUGGCGGCAUGCUUUACACAUGCAAGUCGAACGGCAGCGGGGGCUUCGGCCUGCCGGCGAGUGGCGAACGGGUGAGUAAUGCAUCGGAACGUACCCAGUCGUGGGGGAUAACUACGCGAAAGCGUGGCUAAUACCGCAUACGCCCUGAGGGGGAAAGCGGGGGACCUUCGGGCCUCGCGCGAUUGGAGCGGCUGAUGUCGGAUUAGCUGGUUGGUGGGGUAAAGGCCUACCAAGGCGACGAUCCGUAGCUGGUCUGAGAGGAUGAUCAGCCACACUGGGACUGAGACACGGCCCAGACUCCUACGGGAGGCAGCAGUGGGGAAUUUUGGACAAUGGGCGAAAGCCUGAUCCAGCCAUGCCGCGUGCAGGAUGAAGGCCUUCGGGUUGUAAACUGCUUUUGUACGGAACGAAAAAGUCUUCUCUAAUACAGGGGGCGAAUGACGGUACCGUAAGAAUAAGCACCGGCUAACUACGU
Molecule: ribosomal RNA, 482 nt
Filed under: uncultured bacterium
Lineage: Bacteria
Description: bacterial SSU rRNA
Rfam family: Bacterial small subunit ribosomal RNA
Source: RNAcentral